Molecule: small RNA, 82 nt
Filed under: Arabidopsis thaliana (thale cress)
Lineage: Eukaryota; Viridiplantae; Streptophyta; Magnoliopsida; Brassicales; Brassicaceae
Description: ATSL201070
Source: RNAcentral
UUAGCUUCCCUAAACCCUAAACCCUAAACCCUCAACCCUAAAUCCUCAACCCUAACCCUAAACCCUAAACUUUAAAAUCUAA